This 361-nucleotide long non-coding RNA is filed under the name Heterocephalus glaber (naked mole-rat). Its description in RNAcentral is "lncRNA (ENSHGLG00100031724.2)". The record is from RNAcentral. Lineage: Eukaryota; Metazoa; Chordata; Mammalia; Rodentia; Bathyergidae.
CUGAUCCUCUGUCUGGGGAAAUUGACGUUGUCCCAUUUCAUGGAUUGAGGAUAUCACUGAAGAGGCAGAGAGUGGCUAUGAGAUCUGUCCCAAAAGUCAAACACAGAAAUAUUCAUGCAUUCAGAUGUUUGCUUGGGACCAGUGCUCUCCAGUAGAACUUCCUGCCAUGAUGAAAAAGUAUCUGUGCUGUCCAUGAUGAUAGCCACAAAAUACAUGGAGUAAUGGACCACUUCCACUGUGGCCAGUGCAACUGAGGGACUCAACUUCUAAUUUUAAUUAAUUUAAAAUUAAAUUGCCAUAUAUUUAAUGGUUCAAAUGUAUAUUAUAUUAAAUGUCAUAUACUUGAAAUUCAUUUUUCCUG